AUGGGUUCUAGAUUUCCAUCACAUCAGCUGAGCAGUGGCCUUUAUGUUUCUGGCCGACCUGAGCAACCUAAGGAGAAGGCCCCGACCUUUGGAUCCAAUGUGAUGCCAUACACUGGUGGUGACACCAAGAAAUCUGGAGAGCUUGGGAAGAUGUUUGAGCUCCAUGCUGAAAGAUCUAGAAAAUCUGGUCCUCUAGGCAAUGCGCCUUCGAGAAAUCCUUCAUUUGGCGGUGCUGCCUCCAACUCUGGACCUGUGUCUAAUGCUGGCGGUCGGUCAAACUACUCCGGUUCUCUUUCAUCUUCAGUUCCUGGCGCUGGAGGAUCAGCAAGAGCAAAAUCUAAUUCCGGACCACUCAAUAAGCAUGGAGAACCAGUAAAGCGGUCAUCUGGUCCCCAGUCUGGAGGUGUGACCCCAAUGGCUCGCCAGAAUUCCGGCCCUCUCCCUCCAAUGCUUCCUACGACUGGGCUUAUCACAUCUGGCCCUGUUACUUCUGGACCACUGAAUUCGUCCGGUGCCCCAAGAAGGAAAGUAUCUGGGUCUCUGGAUCCUGCUGCAUCGAUGAAGGCGCGGGCCACAUCGCUUGCUCACAACCAGGCUGUUACUACACUCACCAGUGAAGAUGGUUUCUCAGUUAUGGGAAGCAUUUCAAAGUGGGUAUUCUGGCUAGUGAUCACACUCUUGCUGUUCGGGUUUGCAGUAGGUCUCUUCAUUCUUAUUGCUGUAAACAAUGCGAUUGUGCUGAUAGUUGUUGUUGCAAUGAUUGGUUCUGUUGCUGCACUUGUGUCUUGGAAUGUUUGGCGGGGCAGGAGAGGCGUGCUCAGGUUUGUCAAUAGCUGUCCUGAUACUGAUCUCAGAACUGCAAAGGAUGGAGAGUAUGUGAAGGUUACAGGGGUUGUUACGUGUGGAAAUUUCCCCCUGGAGUCCUCAUUUCAAAGGAUUCCAAGAUGUGUGUACACUUCAACUAGGCUGUAUGAGUAUAGGGGCUGGGAUUCAAAAACUGCAAACCCCAAGCAUCGCCGGUUUACCUGGGGAUUACGGACAGCAGAGCGACAUGCGGUCGAUUUCUACAUUUCAGAUUUUCAGUCUGGGCUUAGAGCAUUGGUGAGAACAGGAAGUGGUGCACGGGUGACACCAUAUGUCGAUGAAUCGGUAGUAAUUGACGUCAAUCCUGAGAACAAGGACUUGUCUCCUGAAUUUCUAAGAUGGCUACGAGAAAGGAAUCUCUCAAGUGAUGGUCGGAAAAUGCGCCUAAAAGAAGGAUACAUCAAAGAAGGCAGCACUGUGAGCGUGAUGGGUGUCGUUCAAAAGAAUGAGAGCGUGUUGAUGAUAGUACCUCCAUCAGAGCCCAUCUCAUCUGGUUGCCAGUGGGGGAGUUGUUUCUUUCCAGCGAACCUUGAUGGACUGGUCGUGAGAUGUGAAGAUACUUCAGACAUGGAUGUGAUACCAGUAUAG
Molecule: ribosomal RNA, 1452 nt
Filed under: Triticum aestivum (bread wheat)
Lineage: Eukaryota; Viridiplantae; Streptophyta; Magnoliopsida; Poales; Poaceae
Description: partial small subunit ribosomal RNA
Source: RNAcentral